CUACGGGAGGCUGCAGUGAGGAAUAUUGCACAAUGGGGGGAACCCUGAUGCAGCAACGCCGCGUGGAGGAUGACGCAUUUCGGAGCGUAAACUCCUUUUAUAUAGGAAGAAGAUGACGGUACUAUAUGAAUAAGCGCCGGCUAACUCCGUGCCAGCAGCCGCGGUAAUACGGAGGGUGCAAGCGUUACUCGGAAUCACUGGGCGUAAAGGACGCGUAGGCGGGUUGGAAAGUCAGGUGUGAAAUCCUACAGCUUAACUGUAGAACUGCACUUGAAACUUCUAAUCUAGAGUAUGGGAGGGGGAGAUGGAAUUAGUGGUGUAGGGGUAAAAUCCGUAGAUAUCACUAGGAAUACCUAAAGCGAAGGCGAUCUCCUGGAACAUUACUGACGCUAAGGCGUGAAAGCGUGGGGAGCAAACAGGAUUAGAUACCCCGGUAGUC
RNAcentral lists this ribosomal RNA (439 nucleotides) under uncultured bacterium. RNAcentral's name for it is "partial 16S ribosomal RNA". It matches the Rfam family "Bacterial small subunit ribosomal RNA", at positions 339 to 795 of the family's 1533-position model. The record is from RNAcentral.